UCUUCUGGGGAGUGAGGUUGGUGUCUGGCCCCAGCAGCCCAGACUGAGCCUUUCUCUCUCUCCAG
Molecule: microRNA precursor, 65 nt
Filed under: Rhinopithecus roxellana (golden snub-nosed monkey)
Lineage: Eukaryota; Metazoa; Chordata; Mammalia; Primates; Cercopithecidae
Description: miRNA (ENSRROG00000011669.1)
Source: RNAcentral